Molecule: small nuclear RNA, 105 nt
Organism: Sorex fumeus (smoky shrew)
Lineage: Eukaryota; Metazoa; Chordata; Mammalia; Eulipotyphla; Soricidae
Source: RefSeq, a predicted model, not a curated record
GCGCUCGCUUCGGCAGCACAUAUACUAAAAUUGGAACGAUACAGAGAAGAUUAGCAUGGCCCCUGCGCAAGAGGCCUUCUUAAAAGAGAAAAAUCUCUUGGGCCU